This 494-nucleotide ribosomal RNA is filed under the name uncultured bacterium. Its description in RNAcentral is "partial 16S ribosomal RNA". It matches the Rfam family "Bacterial small subunit ribosomal RNA", at positions 28 to 507 of the family's 1533-position model. The record is from RNAcentral.
GACGAACGCUGGCGGCGUGCUUAACACAUGCAAGUCGAACGGUGAAGCGCCUUCCUUUUUGGUGGGUGUGGGAGAGGGGCGAAAGGGUGAGUAACACGUGAGUACCCUGCCCCCUUCUUCUGGAUAACCGCAUGAAAGUGUGGCUAAUACGGGAUAUUCUGGGUCUGUCGCAUGAUGGGUCUGGGAGAGAUAUUGUUUAGGUGGGGGAUGGGCUCGCGGCCUUUCAGCUUGUUGGUGGGGUGGUGGCCUACCAUGGCGGUGGCGGGUAGACGGCCUGAGAGGGUGGACGGCCACACUGGGACUGAGACACGGCCCAGACUCCUACGGGAGGCAGCAGUGGGGAAUAGUGCACGAUGGGAGCAAGGCUGAAGCAGCGACGCCGCGUGGGGGAUGGAGGCCUUCGGGUUGUGAACCUCUUGCGCCAGUGAAGCAGGCCUGCCUCGUUUGUGGGUGGGUUGACGGUAGCUGGAUAAGAAGCACCGGCUAACUACGUG